UACGUAGGGUGCAAGCAUUGUCCGGAAUUAUUGGGCGUAAAGAGCUUGUAGGCGGUUUGUCGCGUCUGCUGUGAAAUUUCGGGGCUCAACCCCGAACUUGCAGUGGGUACGGGCAGACUAGAGUGUGGUAGGGGAGACUGGAAUUCCUGGUGUAGCGGUGAAAUGCGCAGAUAUCAGGAGGAACACCGAUGGCGAAGGCAGGUCUCUGGGCCAUAACUGACGCUGAGGAGCGAAAGCGUGGGGAGCAAACAGG
This 253-nucleotide ribosomal RNA is filed under the name uncultured bacterium. RNAcentral describes it as "partial 16S ribosomal RNA". It matches the Rfam family "Bacterial small subunit ribosomal RNA", at positions 524 to 776 of the family's 1533-position model. The record is from RNAcentral.